AGGACGAACGCUGGCGGCGCGCUUAACACAUGCAAGUCGAGCGAGAACCGGUCCUUCGGGACCGGGGAAAGCGGCGAACGGGUGAGUAACACGUGGGUAAUCAACCCUCGGUACCGGGAUAGCCCGAGGAAACUCGAAUUAAUACCGGAUGGCCCAACAGCCUUUCGGGGCGGUUGGAAAAGGUAGCUUCGGCCUCCGACCGAGGACGAGCCCGCGGCGGAUUAGCUUGUUGGUGGGGUAACGGCCCACCAAGGCGACGAUCCGUAGCUGGUCUGAGAGGACGAUCAGCCACACUGGGACUGAGACACGGCCCAGACUCCUACGGGAGGCAGCAGUGGGGAAUCUUGCACAAUGGGCGAAAGCCUGAUGCAGCGACGCCGCGUGAGGGAAGAAGGCUUUCGGGUUGUAAACCUCUUUCAGGAGGGACGAAGCUACUCGGGUUAAUAGCCCAGAGGGUGACGGUACCUCCAGAAGAGCCCGGCUACUACGCGCCAGCAGCCGC
RNAcentral lists this ribosomal RNA (502 nucleotides) under uncultured bacterium. RNAcentral describes it as "SSU rRNA". It matches the Rfam family "Bacterial small subunit ribosomal RNA", at positions 26 to 518 of the family's 1533-position model. The record is from RNAcentral.